AAUUAACAAUCAUUUUAAAUUUAAAGAUAGGCUCUCGUGGAAUAACCGUUUAUGUGCACCACUCAGAAUGGACGGACAAGCGCACAACCUUUCUGUUGCUGAUGAAAAUUGCAGAAAUGUGGGAAAGAAACGUAAAACAAAACUAAAAGAAUGGAAAGACAGGCAAAGGAAGAACUUACGGGAUGCGGGAAAACCCUAUACAAAUCGUAAGGGUCAAGAAAAAACUGGGAAAAGCUGUCCAAAAGAGCAUGAGGUGAAACGGAGACGUAAACCUGAGGAUACAAAGGAGAACAAACGACGGAAACAAACCUUCAAAUACCAUGUACAGCAAGCAGGCCAGAGAUUGAAUGUGUGCAAGGUUACUUUCAUGUCUGUGUUAACCAACAGCCGUCUUCAGGCAAGUGAAAAUAUGAAUUAAUGUCUAUAUGAAUAUCAAUUACAAACAUAUUGUAUUCUCUGUACUAGUUUUUAAUAACCUGCUAAUUGAAAUGUAAUUGUUUUGGUCAGGUUAUUCAGGAAAAGUUAGCUGAGUCAGGUGAGGUUGCAGGGUCUCCAGAUCAGGUUACUGAGGCUAGGUCUCCUUUAGAAGAUGGAAGAGGGAAGCAUAGCAAUAGGUAAUGCGCUAUGGAUUCCAGCCUGGAUUAUUUCACUAUAGCAGUGCUCUAAACAAUCUUCUAAACAUUAACAUAGAGUAUCGAAUGGAUGAAUAGCGAAUUCUGAAACAAAAAUAUAAAAAUGUUUAUUACUUUUAAACAAAAUUAUGGUAACUAAGCUGUCCAACUACCACCUGAGCAUUGAGGACUGAGUGCCGAUUACCUUCCCCCUCCCACCGGACAGCACUGGCCUAAUUCUCGCCGCCCUACAGGAACGCCCGGCCACAAACAGCAAUGGCGUGCCCGGGAUUUGUACCCCGGUUAUAGCGACACAGUUGGACUCUAAGGCAGGUCCCUAGACCAUUGAGAGAAUACAAGUUUAACAACACCUUGUUGUCUCCUUAAGAUGUCAGCAGCAACAUCUGAAGAGGAGAAGAGGAAGAUUGCAGUUGAAAGUGAGUUGCACCAUCGAAAAGCCCUACACACAGCUUCAAAGUGACACUGAGUGGGCUAAAGCCAAUGCUGACUGCCAUGUCAUUUCUGUGGAUCUACAGGGGUGAUGUACACCCCUAAUCCGACCCACUCCAAUGUCUACUACCAGCGGCUGCUGUCAAAUUUUUACUUUUGCAUCCAGGAACUUGGAAAAGAAGAUCCUGCAUACAUGUGUGUUUGGCAUGAGGGGAUUGCACACCGAGGGUCCAUUGAGGUGGCAAGCUGCAUAAUGAAGUGGGUGAAGACAAAAUUCACGCCACUCACCAAACCAGAGGUGUGCAAGUUGAUCAUAUUCAGUGACAGAUGCUGUGUGCAGAAUAACAACUGGCGGAUGCUCAAUCUGAUGUCGAUGCUCGUCUCUAUGGGUUACUUUACCCAAGUUGAGCAGAAGUUCAUGGUCUCUGGUCAUUCUUUUCUUCCUUGUGAUCGAUCUUUUGCCACCAUCGAGAAGAGGCGCAAGGUGUCAGUCCUUCAUACACCUGAUGAUGUUUCAAAGAUGAUACUUGAAGCACAACCAGCAAAACCAUUCAAGGUGAUGAGGAUGCAAUGUGAAGACUUCAGGCACCUCCCAGAUUCUGUCCUCAAGCGACCAGCUGGACUACAGAUCACCUCAGUGAGGUGGUUAAAAGUCACAGUUGAGGAUCCUUGGAAUCUGUACACCAGACAGAGCCACAGUCUAUUUGAGGGAUGGAAAUCGUGGCUGAUCUCCAAACCAAAACAAGGAGCUACACCUCAACCUCCCUAUUUUGCAAACCACUACCCUAGAGCAUGAGAGUCCUCUGCCCAUAAAAAAAGUACCAAGAUCUGAUGACCAUGCUCAACUACUUGCCAGCUGCUGCACGCUCUUUUUAUGAAUCACUGCAGAGUGAAUCAUUUGUUGUUAAACCAAGCUACAUAAUUAACCGUUUUUUCUGUGAGUUUAUGAUCCCCUGAACCUGUAUACUGUAGUAUGUUGAAUCUGUAUACAUUUUAGAAGACAUGUCACCCCUAUUGUAGGAAAUGAAAUGUAUCGUAGGUGUUUUCUAUGUGAAUCAAUUUGUGUAUGAUUUGAACCAGCACAAUAUAUUGAAUUAAUUUAAUUUUAAGAUGUUGUUCCUAGUGUAGAAAAUGUUAUGUACAAUGUGUUCUGUUGAUAAUUAUUUUGUGUGUGAUCAUUUGAACCUUUUUUAAUCUGAAU
This is a long non-coding RNA of Oncorhynchus kisutch (coho salmon), 2262 nucleotides long. RefSeq lists it as uncharacterized. The record is from RefSeq and is a predicted model, not a curated record. The transcript is spliced from 3 exons. Lineage: Eukaryota; Metazoa; Chordata; Actinopteri; Salmoniformes; Salmonidae.